This 301-nucleotide ribosomal RNA is filed under the name uncultured bacterium. RNAcentral describes it as "partial 16S ribosomal RNA". It matches the Rfam family "Bacterial small subunit ribosomal RNA", at positions 509 to 809 of the family's 1533-position model. The record is from RNAcentral.
CAGCAGCCGCGGUAAUACGAAGGGGGCUAGCGUUGCUCGGAAUUACUGGGCGUAAAGGGCGCGUAGGCGGACAGUUCAGUCGGGGGUGAAAGCCCGGGGCUCAACCUCGGAAUUGCCUUCGAUACUGGCUGUCUUGAGUAUGAGAGAGGUGUGUGGAACUCCGAGUGUAGAGGUGAAAUUCGUAGAUAUUCGGAAGAACACCAGUGGCGAAGGCGACACACUGGCUCAUUACUGACGCUGAGGCGCGAAAGCGUGGGGAGCAAACAGGAUUAGAUACCCCUGUAGUCCCUGUCUCUUAUAU